UACGUAUGGUGCAAGCGUUAUCCGGAUUUACUGGGUGUAAAGGGAGUGCAGGCGGCACGGCAAGCCUGAUGUGAAAGCCCGCGGCCCAACCGCGGGACUGCAUUGGGAACUACCGGGCUGGAGUGCCGGAGAGGUAGGCGGAAUUCCUAGUGUAGCGGUGAAAUGCGUAGAUAUUAGGAGGAACACCAGUGGCGAAGGCGGCCUACUGGACGGUGACUGACGCUGAGGCUCGAAAGCGUGGGGAGCAAACAGG
This 253-nucleotide ribosomal RNA is filed under the name uncultured bacterium. RNAcentral's name for it is "partial 16S ribosomal RNA". It matches the Rfam family "Bacterial small subunit ribosomal RNA", at positions 524 to 776 of the family's 1533-position model. The record is from RNAcentral.